This 579-nucleotide long non-coding RNA is filed under the name Scophthalmus maximus (turbot). Its description in RNAcentral is "lncRNA (ENSSMAG00000034897.1)". Lineage: Eukaryota; Metazoa; Chordata; Actinopteri; Pleuronectiformes; Scophthalmidae. The record is from RNAcentral.
AUGGUAUCAGACAGCAUCAUGUCAAACAGCUCCACACGCUUUACACUUUACAGCCCCAUAAAAGAGUUCACGGCACUAAAAGACCCUGUUGGUGAAUUUGUACUGUAUGUCUGUCACCCUAUUUCUCACACCCCUAACAUCUCCGUCUCCCCCCUCCGUUGUCUUGCCCUUGGUGACAUUUUAGCCAGCGCCGCUCCGGCUUUAUCAAAAGCAGCAGCAGAAACUGCAGAGCAGCAGAGGGCGUCCGGCCAGACACCGUCGGGCCACAACGGAGGUGAAGAGCGGCCACAACAAAACCAUUUUACCCCUGCCCUCAUGCAGAACAUCCGAGAAAUUCUUGGCACACUCAGUGGUAUUCCUGUGCGGCCAGUUUCAUCACGGUCACAUGAUGAAUGAGACGGCAUCAUUUACAUAAUCAACUGCUCGAGCUGGAGACACAGGAACGAAAGGAAACCUGCUUGAACUCUGGACCGCCAUCUGAACUCAGGAAACAUCUUUUGUUAUUCUUUGGGGGUAAUGAAGCCAUAUUUAGUGAACUAUGUAAAGGCACUAUGAUGUCUGGUGGAAGAAAAGUUCGCU